GGGGCGGCGGCCGGCCUCGGGGGGGCGGCGCGGAGGCGGCGAAGCGGCGGUGGGGCUCCUGUCCGCACUCGGCGAUUUUUGGGGGGCCGAAAGGGCGGGCGGGCGCGCUGCGGAUCUGACAGGACCUGCCCGUAUAUGUCUAAUAUAAAGACCAUUUCCUGCGGCGCGAGGGGCGCUGCUUGUCCGCGCGCGCCCGGCGGGACCGCCCGCUCCCACCGCCCGAUCCCGCUCCCACCCCCGGCAGCCGCGGAGAGCAGAGUGGGGGCUGCUCCCCCUUGUCGCCUCCCCGGCGGCCGCGGAGGGCGGGCGGCGCGUCCCUAAUUUAUUUAUCACUGUUCCCCAGGAAGGGGUGGAAAGUGGGUUAUCGAUUAUAUAAACACAUCAAUAUUCAUGGCGCUGCGCGGAGGGACGCGGCUCGGCCAGAACAGACAGCGCGGGGGGAGGGGGAGCGCGGCGGCGUUGAUGGGCGCGCUCUCUCUGCGCUCGCGGACGUGGGCGAGCAGCUGCAUGUGCCAGUGGGGCGAUGGCUCCGCGGGCGCGGAAGGGCGCGGGGCGGUGGACAGGUGGCAGCGUGCCCCGCGGAGAGGGGCGGCUCUUUACCUGCGCCCCGCCCGCCCCCCGCGGCGGCACCCCACGUCGGGGGGAACCACCGGCUCUGCGCGUCCCGCACAGCCUCCGCUGUCUUGAGGCGGGCAGCUCGGGGGGCCGCCGGGAACCUCAGCCGCGGGGAGUCCCGGUCAGCGAGAGGAGCGGGCACCGCCGCAAGUGCCGCCCCGCAACGCCGGGCACUGAAAGUUCCCAUCGGUGCUCUAGGAGCUGCAUCCCCGCAGCUUGAUCCUAAAUGGAGAGCAUCCCAUCCCAAAUCUGCCGGAAGAGUCCCCUCCUGAUGAGUCUGAAGGCAAUGCAGGAUACUUCCCACAGUUACACCCACCACCAAAUCAUGACAGCAGAAACAGUCAAGAUGAAAGUUCAUCCUACCUUUACAACCAAGGCAUUGAAUUCCCAUGUCUGGAUCUUUCUGUAUUUGAAACUCUCCAUUGCCUUCAUUGUAUUUUUAAGGUAAAGAAUUUGAAGAUCUGUUCCUAAAUAAAAAGUACCAAAUUAAUAUUACA
Molecule: long non-coding RNA, 1112 nt
Filed under: Parus major (Great Tit)
Lineage: Eukaryota; Metazoa; Chordata; Aves; Passeriformes; Paridae
Description: lncRNA (ENSPMJG00000015407.1)
Source: RNAcentral